CAGCCUGUACAGAUUUAGAUGUAUUCCAUUUAAUUUUUUUGUUUGUUUGUUGUAAGUGAGCAACAUUGAUAACCCACCAGAGGGUUUUGAUGGCAAUGUAAAUGUCGAGGACUUUUGGGAUAAAGUUUCCAUGGAAAUGAUUUCCCGUGGGUUAGUGCCAAGCAACAAGGCCAUUCCUUUCAUUGUCAGGCCAAGUUACAAGUUCUGGGCUCCAUGGAUAGGGCCUCACACAAGGAGGGGAAGUGUGAUCCUAAACACGGAACACAGUAAGAUACAUUCACCACACAGUGCAAAUGAAGAGAUGGAAUUGACUGUGACAGAGGACCGUCUUAAAGAUGAGCUACUGAAGUUAAAGAUGGAAGCUGUGCGUUCCUUGUGCAGGCAGUGUGGGAUUGACCCUAAGGGGUCACGUCUGGACUUGAUAAUAAGACUCCAGACGGAGAAGAAAA
This is a long non-coding RNA of Fundulus heteroclitus (mummichog), 449 nucleotides long. RefSeq lists it as uncharacterized. NCBI's taxonomy places the organism in Eukaryota, Metazoa, Chordata, Actinopteri, Cyprinodontiformes, Fundulidae. The transcript is spliced from 3 exons. The record is from RefSeq and is a predicted model, not a curated record.